Molecule: ribosomal RNA, 700 nt
Filed under: uncultured bacterium
Lineage: Bacteria
Description: bacterial SSU rRNA
Rfam family: Bacterial small subunit ribosomal RNA
Source: RNAcentral
GAGGNCANCACAUGAAGCAGCAAUGCCGAUGGUGGCGACCGGCGCACGGGUGAGUAACACGUAUGCAACCUACCUUCAACACGGGGAUAACCCGGAGUAAUCCGGACUAAUAUCCGAUAAUACAGGGGUUCCGCAUGGGAAUAUUUGUUAAAGAUUUAUUGGUUGAAGAUGGGCAUGCGCUCCAUAGGUAGUUGGUGAGGUAACGGCUCACCAAGCCAACGAUGGAUAGGGGAACUAAGAGGUUUAUCCCCCACACUGGAACUGAGACACGGUCCAGACUCCUACGGGAGGCAGCAGUGAGGAAUAUUGGUCAAUGGACGAGAGUCUGAACCAGCCAAGUCGCGUGAAGGAUGAAGGUCUUAUGGAUUGUAAACUUCUUUUGUCAGGGAAUAAAGUGUCCCGUGCGCGGGAUUUUGUAUGUACCUGACGAAUAAGGAUCGGCUAACUCCGUGCCAGCAGCCGCGGUAAUACGGAGGAUCCGAGCGUUAUCCGGAUUUAUUGGGUUUAAAGGGUGCGCAGGCGGGAAGUUAAGUCGGCGGUGAAAUUUUGCAGCUCAACUGUAAAAGUGCCUUCGAAACUGGCUUUCUUGAGUGUAGAUGAAGUANGCNGAAUUUUGUGGUGUAGCCGGUGAAAUGCAUAANAUAUCACGANGNACUUCGANUGCGCAGGCAGCUUACUAAACUACAACUGACGCUNAUGC